Molecule: ribosomal RNA, 409 nt
Filed under: bacterium
Lineage: Bacteria
Description: partial 16S ribosomal RNA
Rfam family: Bacterial small subunit ribosomal RNA
Source: RNAcentral
UGGGGAAUAUAGCACAAUGGGCGAAAGCCUGAUGCAGCGACGCCGCGUGAGGGAUGACGGCCUUCGGGUUGUAAACCUCUUUCAGUAGGGACGAAGCGCAAGUGACGGUACCUGCAGAAGAAGCACCGGCUAACUACGUGCCAGCAGCCGCGGUAAUACGUAGGGUGCGAGCGUUGUCCGGAAUUACUGGGCGUAAAGAGCUCGUAGGCGGUUUGUCACGUCGUCUGUGAAAUCCUAGGGCUUAACCCUGGACGUGCAGGCGAUACGGGCUGACUUGAGUACUACAGGGGAGACUGGAAUUUCUGGUGUAGCGGUGGAAUGCACAGAUAUCAGGAAGAACACCGAUGGCGAAGGCAGGUCUCUGGGUAGUAACUGACGCUGAGGAGCGAAAGCAUGGGUAGCGAACAGG